RNAcentral lists this long non-coding RNA (1270 nucleotides) under Homo sapiens (human). Its description in RNAcentral is "HSALNT0093741". The record is from RNAcentral. Lineage: Eukaryota; Metazoa; Chordata; Mammalia; Primates; Hominidae.
UUAGGUCCAAGAUAAGAAGAAAAACAUUAAUGAUUGGAAGUACAGGUUAGGUCAACAAUUUUUCAACUUUUUAAAAUAAGUGGAACUUUUAAAAAAUGAAGAAUGAAAUCACGGUAUGUGAAACAGAUAAAAGUGGAAAUGUAUUUGGGGGGAACUACUAACCUCCUCUUUUCCACUUGAAGCACUUUUGGCUUCAUAAAACAGUGAUGAAAUGUGUGUUAUAGGUAAUUAUUUUAAAAACUAGUCACUGUGGAAGCAUUAGACCAGGUAUUUUCAAUAAUCCUUUUCCCAAGGAGCCAUAGCUGAUGAACGUUAUAGCCUCAGCAUUUCUAGAGAUGAAGUUUCUAGACUUGAUUUGCUGUGAAUGAUGAUGUUAGAAACAUCGUGCUACUGGCUCCUAUCACUUUCCAAUUGCCUUGUAACAUGGCAGUUACUUUAUGUACCAACAUCCCAAAGGUGUGAUUGAAUGUGGAUUAUCAAUUCACACAGGGUCUCUCUGGUGCUGGGAUACCUGUUAUAAUCACUUUCUAAUUCCUAGAUUUGCUGGUGUUUAGAAAUCUGAAAGGUAUCAGAAAAACAGAUUUUAUCACAAUUUUUGGCUAUUGAAAAUGUCAGUAACAUAUUUUUUUAAUCACUGCACCUGUAGAAUUAUUCUCACAAAAAAUUCAUUUGGGUCUCCAGAAACUGUUAGCAAAAGCUAAAGAGGGCAUUUAUUUUCUGACUUCCUUCCUACCCCUUCCUGAGGAUUGAAUAUCUAUCUUAAUAAUUUUGGAUGUGCUUAUAAAUGAAUUGAUAUUCAAAUCAGAUACCUCUGCCCCAUGUCAGGCUUUGGUUGCGCAAGUAAUGGGUGACUCACCUUACCUUCUGUUCCACAUGUGAAGCCAACACCUCUUGAAGCCAAAUUUCUAUAGCUUUUGAAAAUACAGUAUUACUCUUGGUAUUGGGUUAACUGUAAAUGAAAUAAACAGGUUAGCAAAAAAGGUACAAAUCUUAUCUAAACCUCUGUACAUCAAGUAUGGAUAUUCACUUCUAAAUCAAUUCAGAAUCAAAUUGAUUUUUGGUGUCAAUGCCCAAAGGUAGGUAAAUAUAGAUGAGAUGGCUCUACCUUAGAGAGUUGAAUGAUUCCUCCAUAUUUAAAACUCUGUUCAACUUAGUGAGAAGAGAUUAUUAAGAUACGUAAUGAAGUCCUAUUUUGUAUGGAGAUUUGAUUCCAAUGUCAGUAUUUAAGGCAAAAAAUGUACGUAGUCCAAUCAUCCUUGACAAACCCUUA